AACGAACGCUGGCGGCAGGCUUAACACAUGCAAGUCGAGCGCCCCGCAAGGGGAGCGGCAGACGGGUGAGUAACGCGUGGGAAUCUACCCAUCUCUACGGAACAACUCCGGGAAACUGGA
Molecule: ribosomal RNA, 120 nt
Filed under: uncultured bacterium
Lineage: Bacteria
Description: partial 16S ribosomal RNA
Rfam family: Bacterial small subunit ribosomal RNA
Source: RNAcentral